This 492-nucleotide ribosomal RNA is filed under the name uncultured bacterium. RNAcentral's name for it is "partial 16S ribosomal RNA". It matches the Rfam family "Bacterial small subunit ribosomal RNA", at positions 29 to 507 of the family's 1533-position model. The record is from RNAcentral.
AGUGAACGCUGGCGGUAGGCCUAACACAUGCAAGUCGAACGGCAGCACAGUAAGAGCUUGCUCUUACGGGUGGCGAGUGGCGGACGGGUGAGGAAUACAUCGGAAUCUACUUUUUCGUGGGGGAUAACGUAGGGAAACUUACGCUAAUACCGCAUACGACCUACGGGUGAAAGCAGGGGAUCUUCGGACCUUGCGCGAUUGAAUGAGCCGAUGUCGGAUUAGCUAGUUGGCGGGGUAAAGGCCCACCAAGGCGACGAUCCGUAGCUGGUCUGAGAGGAUGAUCAGCCACACUGGAACUGAGACACGGUCCAGACUCCGACGGGAGGCAGCAGUGGGGAAUAUUGGACAAUGGGCGCAAGCCUGAUCCAGGCAUACCGCGUGGGUGAAGAAGGCCUUCGGGUUGUAAAGCAGUUUUGUUGGGAGAGAAAAGCAGCAGGUUAAUACGCCGCUGUUCUGACGGUACCCAAAGAAUAAGCACCGGCUAACUUCGUG